This 448-nucleotide ribosomal RNA is filed under the name uncultured bacterium. RNAcentral's name for it is "bacterial SSU rRNA". It matches the Rfam family "Bacterial small subunit ribosomal RNA", at positions 328 to 793 of the family's 1533-position model. The record is from RNAcentral.
UCACCAGACUCCUACGGGAGGCAGCAGUGGAGAAUAUUGCACAAUGGGGGGAACCCUGAUGCAGCGACGCCGCGUGGGUGAAGGAGCACCUCGGUGCGUAAAGCCCUAUCGGCAGGGAAGAAACAGACGGUACCUGACUAAGAAGCCCCGGCUAACUACGUGCCAGCAGCCGCGGUAAUACGUAGGGGGCAAGCGUUAUCCGGAUUCACUGGGUGUAAAGGGAGCGUAGACGGCGACGCAAGUCUGGAGUGAAAGCCCGGGGCCCAACCCCGGGACUGCUCCGGAAACUGCGUCGCUGGAGUACGGGAGGGGCAGGCGGAAUUCCUGGUGUAGCGGUGAAAUGCGUAGAUAUCAGGAGGAACACCAGUGGCGAAGGCGGCUUGCUGGACGAUGACUGACGUGGAGGCUCGAAAGCGUGGGGAGCAAACGGGAUUAGAUACCCCGGUAC